AGUAUUGAGCCGGAAUAACGGAUAGCACUGAUGCAGCUAAUUAUGAGUAACUUCUCCAAUACUU
This 64-nucleotide transfer RNA is filed under the name Acanthobdella peledina. RNAcentral describes it as "tRNA-Ile". The record is from RNAcentral. Lineage: Eukaryota; Metazoa; Annelida; Clitellata; Acanthobdellida.